This 468-nucleotide ribosomal RNA is filed under the name uncultured bacterium. RNAcentral describes it as "partial 16S ribosomal RNA". It matches the Rfam family "Bacterial small subunit ribosomal RNA", at positions 28 to 507 of the family's 1533-position model. The record is from RNAcentral.
GACGAACGCUGGCGGCGUGCUUAACACAUGCAAGUCGAACGGAAAGGCCCUGCUUUUGUGGUUUGCUCGAGUGGCGAACUGGUGUGUAACACGUGAGUAUCCUCCCCUUUACUUUCUGAUAACUUCAGGAAACUGGGGCUAAUACCGGAUAGUAGCUCCUGCUGCAUGUUGUGGGUUGGAAAGUUUCGGCGGUUGUGGAUUGACUCGCGGCUUAUCAGCUUGUUGGUGGGGUAGUGGCUUACCAAGUCUUUGACGGGUAGCCGGCCUGUGAGGGUGACCGGCAACAUUGGGACUGAGAUACGGACCAGACUCAUACGGGAGGCAGCAGUGGGGAAUAUUGCAGAAUGGGCGGAAGCAUGAUGUAGAAACGCCGCGUGCGGGAAGACGGGCUUCGGGUUGUAAACAGAUUUCGAAUGUGACGAAGAGUGAGUGACGGUAAUGGGUAAAGAAGCACCGGCUAACUACGUG